RNAcentral lists this ribosomal RNA (1785 nucleotides) under Escherichia coli. RNAcentral describes it as "partial 23S ribosomal RNA". It matches the Rfam family "Bacterial large subunit ribosomal RNA", at positions 363 to 2136 of the family's 2925-position model. The record is from RNAcentral. Lineage: Bacteria; Pseudomonadati; Pseudomonadota; Gammaproteobacteria; Enterobacterales; Enterobacteriaceae.
GGUGACAGCCCCGUACACAAAAAUGCACAUGCUGUGAGCUCGAUGAGUAGGGCGGGACACGUGGUAUCCUGUCUGAAUAUGGGGGGACCAUCCUCCAAGGCUAAAUACUCCUGACUGACCGAUAGUGAACCAGUACCGUGAGGGAAAGGCGAAAAGAACCCCGGCGAGGGGAGUGAAAAAGAACCUGAAACCGUGUACGUACAAGCAGUGGGAGCACGCUUAGGCGUGUGACUGCGUACCUUUUGUAUAAUGGGUCAGCGACUUAUAUUCUGUAGCAAGGUUAACCGAAUAGGGGAGCCGAAGGGAAACCGAGUCUUAACUGGGCGUUAAGUUGCAGGGUAUAGACCCGAAACCCGGUGAUCUAGCCAUGGGCAGGUUGAAGGUUGGGUAACACUAACUGGAGGACCGAACCGACUAAUGUUGAAAAAUUAGCGGAUGACUUGUGGCUGGGGGUGAAAGGCCAAUCAAACCGGGAGAUAGCUGGUUCUCCCCGAAAGCUAUUUAGGUAGCGCCUCGUGAAUUCAUCUCCGGGGGUAGAGCACUGUUUCGGCAAGGGGGUCAUCCCGACUUACCAACCCGAUGCAAACUGCGAAUACCGGAGAAUGUUAUCACGGGAGACACACGGCGGGUGCUAACGUCCGUCGUGAAGAGGGAAACAACCCAGACCGCCAGCUAAGGUCCCAAAGUCAUGGUUAAGUGGGAAACGAUGUGGGAAGGCCCAGACAGCCAGGAUGUUGGCUUAGAAGCAGCCAUCAUUUAAAGAAAGCGUAAUAGCUCACUGGUCGAGUCGGCCUGCGCGGAAGAUGUAACGGGGCUAAACCAUGCACCGAAGCUGCGGCAGCGACGCUUAUGCGUUGUUGGGUAGGGGAGCGUUCUGUAAGCCUGCGAAGGUGUGCUGUGAGGCAUGCUGGAGGUAUCAGAAGUGCGAAUGCUGACAUAAGUAACGAUAAAGCGGGUGAAAAGCCCGCUCGCCGGAAGACCAAGGGUUCCUGUCCAACGUUAAUCGGGGCAGGGUGAGUCGACCCCUAAGGCGAGGCCGAAAGGCGUAGUCGAUGGGAAACAGGUUAAUAUUCCUGUACUUGGUGUUACUGCGAAGGGGGGACGGAGAAGGCUAUGUUGGCCGGGCGACGGUUGUCCCGGUUUAAGCGUGUAGGCUGGUUUUCCAGGCAAAUCCGGAAAAUCAAGGCUGAGGCGUGAUGACGAGGCACUACGGUGCUGAAGCAACAAAUGCCCUGCUUCCAGGAAAAGCCUCUAAGCAUCAGGUAACAUCAAAUCGUACCCCAAACCGACACAGGUGGUCAGGUAGAGAAUACCAAGGCGCUUGAGAGAACUCGGGUGAAGGAACUAGGCAAAAUGGUGCCGUAACUUCGGGAGAAGGCACGCUGAUAUGUAGGUGAAGUCCCUCGCGGAUGGAGCUGAAAUCAGUCGAAGAUACCAGCUGGCUGCAACUGUUUAUUAAAAACACAGCACUGUGCAAACACGAAAGUGGACGUAUACGGUGUGACGCCUGCCCGGUGCCGGAAGGUUAAUUGAUGGGGUCAGCGCAAGCGAAGCUCUUGAUCGAAGCCCCGGUAAACGGCGGCCGUAACUAUAACGGUCCUAAGGUAGCGAAAUUCCUUGUCGGGUAAGUUCCGACCUGCACGAAUGGCGUAAUGAUGGCCAGGCUGUCUCCACCCGAGACUCAGUGAAAUUGAACUCGCUGUGAAGAUGCAGUGUACCCGCGGCAAGACGGAAAGACCCCGUGAACCUUUACUAUAGCUUGACACUGAACAUUGAGCCUUGAUG